CAGCCGCCGCGGUAAUUCGUAGGGGGCGAGCGUUGUCCGGACUUAUUGGGCGUAAAGCGCGCGCAGGCGGUCCCUUAAGUCUGAUGUGAAAGCCCACGGCUCAACCGUGGAGGGUCAUUGGAAACUGGGGGACUUGAGUGCAGAAGAGGAGAGAGGAAUUCCACGUGUAGCGGUGAAAUGCGUAGAGAUGUGGAGGAACACCAGUGGCGAAGGCGGCUCUCUGGUCUGUAACUGACGCUGAGGCGCGCAAGCGUGGGGAGCAAACAGGAUUAGAUACCCUGGUAGUCCACGCCGUAAACGAUGAGUGCUAAGUGUUAGAGGGGUUAAACCCUUUAGUGCUGGAGCUAACGCGUUAAGCACUCCGCCUGGGGAGUACGGCCGCAAGGCUGAAACUUAAAGGAAUUGGCGGG
This 410-nucleotide ribosomal RNA is filed under the name uncultured microorganism. RNAcentral describes it as "bacterial SSU rRNA". It matches the Rfam family "Bacterial small subunit ribosomal RNA", at positions 509 to 917 of the family's 1533-position model. The record is from RNAcentral.